CAAGAACUUGAACUAAUUAUAUCUAUUUUACACACAACAGAUGUUCUCAUAUAAUUUUAUUGUAUGGGACCUAUAGGUCUAUUAUAUCCUAAAACUCUAAAUUAUUGAAAAGAAAACAUUUUUUUUUGGCUGACUUGGCAUACUUUGCAACUUUGAUUAGGGUAUGGGAUUAGGAUGAAUAGAGCAGAGCAUUGACAGUCCAUCAAAGAUGUAGUUCAGAAAGGCCCUUAAUCUAGUUUAACAAAGGCCUAAAAACAG
This 258-nucleotide unclassified non-coding RNA is filed under the name Hevea brasiliensis (rubber tree). Lineage: Eukaryota; Viridiplantae; Streptophyta; Magnoliopsida; Malpighiales; Euphorbiaceae. The record is from RNAcentral.